RNAcentral lists this ribosomal RNA (925 nucleotides) under uncultured Bacteroidota bacterium. RNAcentral describes it as "bacterial SSU rRNA". It matches the Rfam family "Bacterial small subunit ribosomal RNA", at positions 1 to 917 of the family's 1533-position model. Lineage: Bacteria; Pseudomonadati; Bacteroidota. The record is from RNAcentral.
UGGAUCCAGACUUUGAUUCUGGCUCAGGAUGAACGCUAGCUACAGGCUUAACACAUGCAAGUCGAGGGGAAACGAUAUUGGAAGCUUGCUUCCGAUAGGCGUCGACCGGCGCACGGGUGAGUAACGCGUAUCCAACCUGCCCACCACUUGGGGAUAACCUUGCGAAAGUAAGACUAAUACCCAAUGAUAUCUCUAGAAGACAUCUGAAAGAGAUUAAAGAUUUAUCGGUGAUGGAUGGGGAUGCGUCUGAUUAGCUUGUUGGCGGGGUAACGGCCCACCAAGGCGACGAUCAGUAGGGGUUCUGAGAGGAAGGUCCCCCACAUUGGAACUGAGACACGGUCCAAACUCCUACGGGAGGCAGCAGUGAGGAAUAUUGGUCAAUGGGCGAGAGCCUGAACCAGCCAAGUAGCGUGCAGGAUGACGGCCCUAUGGGUUGUAAACUGCUUUUAUAAGGGAAUAAAGUGAGUCUCGUGAGACUUUUUGCAUGUACCUUAUGAAUAAGGACCGGCUAAUUCCGUGCCAGCAGCCGCGGUAAUACGGAAGGUCCGGGCGUUAUCCGGAUUUAUUGGGUUUAAAGGGAGCGUAGGCCGGAGAUUAAGCGUGUUGUGAAAUGUAGAUGCUCAACAUCUGCACUGCAGCGCGAACUGGUUUCCUUGAGUACGCACAAAGUGGGCGGAAUUCGUGGUGUAGCGGUGAAAUGCUAGAUAUCACGAAGAACUCCGAUUGCGAAGGCAGCUCACUGGAGCGCAACUGACGCUGAAGCUCGAAAGUGCGGGUAUCGAACAGGAUUAGAUACCCUGGUAGUCCGCACGGUAAACGAUGGAUGCCCGCUGUUGGUCUGAAUAGGUCAGCGGCCAAGCGAAAGCAUUAAGCAUCCCACCUGGGGAGUACGCCGGCAACGGUGCAACUCAAAGGAAUUGACGGA